This 484-nucleotide ribosomal RNA is filed under the name uncultured bacterium. RNAcentral's name for it is "partial 16S ribosomal RNA". It matches the Rfam family "Bacterial small subunit ribosomal RNA", at positions 28 to 523 of the family's 1533-position model. The record is from RNAcentral.
GACGAACGCUGGCGGCGUGCUUAACACAUGCAAGUCGAACGAUGAAGCCGGAGCUUGCUCUGGUGAAUUAGUGGCGAACGGGUGAGUAACACGUGAGUAACCUGCCCUUGACUCUGGGAUAACUGCUAGAAAUGGUAGCUAAUACCGGAUACGACCCUCGGAGGCAUCUCCAGGGGGUGGAAAGAAUUUCGGUCAAGGAUGGACUCGCGGCCUAUCAGCUAGUUGACGAGGUAACGGCUCACCAAGGCGACGACGGGUAGCGGGCCUGAGAGGGUGGACGGCCACACUGGGACUGAGACACGGCCCAGACUCCUACGGGAGGCAGCAGUGGGGAAUAUUGCACGAUGGGCGCAAGCCUGAUGCAGCAACGCCGCGUGAGGGAUGACGGCCUUCGGGUUGUAAACCUCUUUUAGUAGGGAAGAAGCGAAAGUGACGGUACCUGCAGAAAAAGCACCGGCUAACUACGUGCCAGCCGCCGCAGUAA